This is a long non-coding RNA of Drosophila bipectinata, 239 nucleotides long. RefSeq lists it as uncharacterized. The record is from RefSeq and is a predicted model, not a curated record. Lineage: Eukaryota; Metazoa; Arthropoda; Insecta; Diptera; Drosophilidae.
AAACAUCGGUAACAUCGAUGUUUUACCGGGCAACAUCGAUGUUUUUCCAUCUCUAAAGCACUUCGAAGAAGAUUGACGAAUAACUUUGAUAUUUGUUGGUGGUGUUGGCGUGAGUGCGGAGGCGAUUAGACAUGGACAGAUUUUUGAAAAGAACAACAAACAAGCAGCCACGAUCGGAUGAGGAGCCAAAGAGGAGGAAGCGUGAUGUUUCUAUGGCUUGGGAUCAUUUGGAUCAGGAA